Molecule: transfer RNA, 76 nt
Filed under: Bacillota bacterium
Lineage: Bacteria; Bacillati; Bacillota
Also listed under: 1 other name
Description: Firmicutes bacterium (anaerobic digester metagenome) tRNA-Trp
Rfam family: tRNA
About the family: Transfer RNA (tRNA) molecules are approximately 80 nucleotides in length. Their secondary structure includes four short double-helical elements and three loops (D, anti-codon, and T loops). Further hydrogen bonds mediate the characteristic L-shaped molecular structure. tRNAs have two regions of fundamental functional importance: the anti-codon, which is responsible for specific mRNA codon recognition, and the 3' end, to which the tRNAs corresponding amino acid is attached (by aminoacyl-tRNA synthetases). tRNAs cope with the degeneracy of the genetic code in two manners: having more than one tRNA (with a specific anti-codon) for a particular amino acid; and 'wobble' base-pairing, i.e. permitting non-standard base-pairing at the 3rd anti-codon position.
Source: RNAcentral
AGGGGAGUAGCUCAAUUGGUAGAGCGCCGGUCUCCAAAACCGGGUGUUGCGGGUUCAAGUCCUGUCUCCCCUGCCA